This 253-nucleotide ribosomal RNA is filed under the name uncultured bacterium. RNAcentral describes it as "partial 16S ribosomal RNA". It matches the Rfam family "Bacterial small subunit ribosomal RNA", at positions 524 to 776 of the family's 1533-position model. The record is from RNAcentral.
UACAGAGGGGGCAAGCGUUGUUCGGAAUUACUGGGCGUAAAGGGCUCGUAGGCGGCCAACUAAGUCAGACGUGAAAUCCCUCAGCUUAACUGGGGAACUGCGUCUGAUACUGGAUGGCUUGGAUUCGGGAGAGGAAUGCGGAAUUCCAGGUGUAGCGGUGAAAUGCGUAGAUAUCUGGAGGAACACCGGUGGCGAAGGCGGCAUUCUGGACCGACAUUGACGCUGAGGAGCGAAAGCCAGGGGAGCAAACGGG